Molecule: ribosomal RNA, 515 nt
Filed under: uncultured bacterium
Lineage: Bacteria
Description: partial 16S ribosomal RNA
Rfam family: Bacterial small subunit ribosomal RNA
Source: RNAcentral
GAUGAACGCUGGCGGCGUGCCUAAUACAUGCAAGUCGAGCGAAUGGAUUAAGAGCUUGCUCUUAUGAAGUUAGCGGCGGACGGGUGAGUAACACGUGGGUAACCUGCCCAUAAGACUGGGAUAACUCCGGGAAACCGGGGCUAAUACCGGAUAACAUUUUGAACCGCAUGGUUCGAAAUUGAAAGGCGGCUUCGGCUGUCACUUAUGGAUGGACCCGCGUCGCAUUAGCUAGGUGGUGAGGUAACGGCGCACCAAGGCAACGAUGCGUAGACGCUCUGAUGCGUUGAUCGGCACCACGCGGACCGAGACACGACCCAGACCCCGACGGGAGGCAGCAGUAGGGAAUCUUCCGCAAUAGACAAAAUGCUGACGGGGCAAGGCCGCGUGAGAGAUGAAGGCUUUCGGGUCUUAAAACUCUGUUGUUAGGGAAGAACAAGUGCUAGUUGAAUAAGCUGGCACCUUGACGGUACCUAACCAGAAAGCCACGGCUAAUUACGUGCCAGCCGCCGCCGUAA